Molecule: long non-coding RNA, 1679 nt
Organism: Sebastes umbrosus (honeycomb rockfish)
Lineage: Eukaryota; Metazoa; Chordata; Actinopteri; Perciformes; Sebastidae
Exons: 4
Source: RefSeq, a predicted model, not a curated record
CGCCACGGCAACGCAGCGACGGCCAAGCGAGAGUGAGACCUGAGGGAGACAACCGGAAGCAGCAUGCUCAGCGCAGGAAGAACAGCACCACAGGUCCGACUGAGACAUGAUGGAGGGUCACAUGAACACACACACUUACAGGUGGUUUACCUGAGCACAGUCACAUGACCUCCUCCUCCUCCUCCCUCUCUCCUCUCACACACAAACCGACCAAACAGCCCAGGCUGCAGCAUGUCUCGUUCUCCCCUCAGGCGGAGGAAGGAGGUGACUCAACAAACAGCCAGACUCUUAACGUCUGAGAGAAGCAGGUUUAAAUAGAACAAACCUGAGAGAGCUGAGAGGCACCAACUCCACCUGAGAGACAAAACACAUCAGAGCAGCAGGUGGAGCUGAUGUACUGACUCUCAGCUGGUGGUGGACCAGAGACUCACCUGGCGGUGGACCAGAGACUCACCUGGUGGUGGACCACAGUACAGUACAGUAUACAGUACAGUGUAUAUAUAUAUGUAUAUAUAUACUGUGUAUAUAUAUGCUACUUAGUACUUGUCCUCCAAUACAUCAGAGCAGUUUGGUGCAUCUCAUCACAUAGAAACUGUCCUGUUUAACAGACUACGUAAUUGUUUUGUGGGAUUUUGUUGUAAUAUUUCUAAAUAAUAGUAAUACAAUAGUAUUAGUAAAAAUAGUAAAAGUUAUGCAUUUACAUUUUUUUUCUUCUUCCCCCAUUUGGGGCAACCUUUAACUACAUCUAGAUGAUAAUACUGACAUACUUUGGCUUUUACUUGUAGUGGAGUAUUUUCAUAGUGAGUACUUUUACUGCAGUAAAGAAUCCGAGUACUUCUCCCAUCACUGCUGUGUACUCUCAGUAAUGUGUAAUAUUUCCUCGGUAUCUCUGCUACAAUAAACUCAUAAAUAAAUAAGCAAAAAUAAACAUUUAAACAGAAUAUAAAUAUGAAGUAUUUGCAGUAGUGACAGUUAUCAGUGAUCCACCUUCAGCCACUGUGAUACCACCUAGAGGCUGUUACCUCACCUGUCCACACGGGGGCGCUCAACCACCAUAAUAUUUAUACUUAACAUAUAUUCAUGUUUCCUUCUCUCUUCUAAAAUGUGACGAAUUAAUGUUAUUAUUAUUAUUAUUAUUUUUAUUAUUAUUAUUAUUUUUUUUUUAUUAUUAUUUUUAUUAUUAUUAUUAAACAAGAUUCACCUGCACACAAUAAAUCUGUUGAACCUUCACACAGUGACUCACUGUCUGAACACGCCCACACACUGUUAUGUUUCUGUACUCCUUGUAGUAGUGGUAGUAGUAUAAGUAGUGGCACUGGGAGUAACAGAAGGAAACAUUAGAUUCACUUAUAGUGAAAACAUAAAAAAAGCCAUAAAACAUAAAAAGGACAACAGAAAUUAAACAAAUCCAACAUAAAAUGAAUAAAAAGGAAAAACAUGACAGAGUAUGACAAUAAUAUAUUGCAUACAUUCAUUGUUUUGUGAGGAAUAAAUCAUUAACACAUAUUGUUCCAUUUCCUUCAUAAUAUGAAGAAAUUUGGCUUUUCUUGUGGUAAAUGUGAACACUCAGUGUCACACUCAGUCACUGUAACCGUAGCAACCAAAAUCUGACAUUUCUAUAGAAAUCAAAGGCUUCCGCCACACCUGAGGGACGUCAUCGUGUCGUCGGUGUAAUUGUC